UACAGAGGUCUCAAGCGUUUGUUCGGAUUCAUUGGGCGUAAAGGGUGUGUAGGUGGCGCCGUAAGUCGGGUGUGAAAUUUCGGAGCUUAAACUCCGAAACUGCAUUCGAUACUGCGGUGCUUGAGGACUGGAGAGGAGACUGGAAUUCAUGGUGUAGCAGUGAAAUGCGUAGAGAUCAUGAGGAAGACCAGUGGCGAAGGCGGGUCUCUGGACAGUUCCUGGACGCUGAGGCGCGAAAGCCAGGGGAGCGAACGGG
This 256-nucleotide ribosomal RNA is filed under the name uncultured bacterium. Its description in RNAcentral is "partial 16S ribosomal RNA". It matches the Rfam family "Bacterial small subunit ribosomal RNA", at positions 524 to 776 of the family's 1533-position model. The record is from RNAcentral.